UACCGCUUGCGGUGGUGUGGAAACGAGCGUAAGUGAACUUAUUUUCACUAGACAAAUACUAACAUAUUGUAGUUUUUAAAAGACGAUUUUAUUCUUUCGUAAAUGUAACUCAUUGUCAAUAAAACUCAUGAUUCGAUAAUGUGUAACGCAUGUGGAAUCGUAAUACAUUCGGAUUUUUCUAGUUUAGUCGGAGUGAAUUCCACGUAAAUACAUCUUCCUUUUUGAUAAAUUUCGUUUCUUAAUUAAAGUCAACAAAGUGCAUAUACCUUUGGGAAUUUAGAAUUAGGCAAUUCCAUCUUUCUCCCCCGCUUAACCUUUCGCAGUCGACACAAGUUGUUAUAAUAAAACAUGAUAUUUGCAUAACAAAUGAGCACGUCUCCCGUGAAAUCCGAUAGAGAACAAAAAAACGAUGCUCAUUCAGAACCGGUUACUAAAAAUGACGAAAGAACGAUGUUUAAAUUUUGUACAUUCGAGAUACGGGUAAUCCGUCUAAAAGGCCCAUUGCAUUAUACAUACAAAAUGGAAUACAGUCAGAACUUAACUCCCAUCUUCGCUUUUGAAUCUAUAUUGUAGAAAUUAGUUUAAAAAUGUUUAUUACAAAUUUAUAUACACGCAUGAUUUAUAGAUUACUUAACUGAAUCUACUAUUGAAUACUUUUUUCAAAAAAUCACUACAUUCACACACAUAAAAAGAAAGGCAACAAAUAUGAUAACUUGCAUUUUAUAAUAUUAUUAAUUGAUUUUAGACUCAAUUAAAAACCACAAGAGAAAUGUUUUGUCGCAGUAUACAUAUAAAUUUAUUACUUUCGACAGAAAGGAAGUGAUCCGUUAAUAACGGAAAUCACAAAUCAGUUGGAAUAUAAGAUGACUAUUUGAGUUGGAAAAAUUUUCAACGGAUACUUGCCAAAGAAGCUGUGAAUGACGGACUUCCAGAGAAUACAUACGUGAAACGCAAGAAAAUGAUGCACGAAUAACAACGUUUUACGCAUAAGUUGGCUGCCUCGCCACGAAUUCCAACGACCAGUACAGGCAUUGUUGCAUGGCGAUCUUCGCAGGAAGAGUAUCGCUUGGAAUUUAACGGACCUAUGCAUAUUUCCCCAAAAGGGACAAUCAGCCCACCACUGGAACCCGAUGCUGUUCCAAUAACUCAUCAACGAUGCAUAUUUCUUAGAUGAUUACAAAGUAAUUACAUGAAUUUUCAACCAGUUCCUUGUAAUUUUAACAUGUGUAAUAAAAUUCAUUAACGUUUCAA
Molecule: long non-coding RNA, 1251 nt
Organism: Neodiprion fabricii
Lineage: Eukaryota; Metazoa; Arthropoda; Insecta; Hymenoptera; Diprionidae
Exons: 2
Source: RefSeq, a predicted model, not a curated record